AAAAACACAGCACUCUGCAAACACGAAAGUGGACGUAUAGGGUGUGACGCCUGCCCGGUGCUGGAAGAUUAAUUGAUGGGGUGCAAGCUCUUGAUCGAAGUCCCAGUAAACGGCGGCCGUAACUAUAACGGUCCUAAGGUAGCGAAAUUCCUUGUCGGGUAAGUUCCGACCUGCACGAAUGGCGUAACGAUGGCCACACUGUCUCCUCCAGAGACUCAGCGAAGUUGAAAUGUUUGUGAUGAUGCAAUCUCCCCGCGGAAAGACGGAAAGACCCCAUGAACCUUUACUGUAGCUUUGUAUUGGACUUUGAACGGAUCUGUGUAGGAUAGGUGGGAGGCUUUGAAGUGCGGUCGCUAGAUCGCAUGGAGCCAACGUUGAAAUACCACCCUGGUGCGUUUGAGGUUCUAACCUGGGUCCCUUAUCGGGAUCGGGGACAGUGCAUGGUAGGCAGUUUGACUGGGGCGGUCUCCUCCCAAAGCGUAACGGAGGAGUUCGAAGGUACGCUAGUUACGGUCGGACAUCGUGACGAUAGUGCAAUGGCAUAAGCGUGCUUAACUGCGAGACUGACAAGUCGAGCAGAUGCGAAAGCAGGACAUAGUGAUCCGGUGGUUCUGUAUGGAAGGGCCAUCGCUCAACGGAUAAAAGGUACUCUGGGGAUAACAGGCUGAUACCGCCCAAGAGUUCAUAUCGACGGCGGUGUUUGGCACCUCGAUGUCGGCUCAUCUCAUCCUGGGGCUGUAGCCGGUCCCAAGGGUAUGGCUGUUCGCCAUUUAAAGAGGUACGUGAGCUGGGUUCAAAACGUCGUGAGACAGUUUGGUCCCUAUCUUCCGUGGGCGCUGCAGAUUUGAGAAAGCCUGCUCCUAGUACGAGAGGACCGGAGUGGACGCACCCCUGGUGUACCUGUUGUCACGCCCGUGGCAUCGCAGGGUAGCUAAGUGCGGAAGAGAUAACCGCUGAAAGCAUCUAAGCGGGAAACUCGUUUCAAGAUGAGAUCUGCCGGGGCCUUGAGCCCCCUCAAGAGUCGUUCUAGACCAGGACGUUGAUAGGCUGGGUGUGCAAGGGCAGCAAUGCUCUGAGCUAACCAGUACUAAUUGCUCGUGCGGCUUGACCCU
Molecule: ribosomal RNA, 1112 nt
Filed under: activated sludge metagenome
Description: bacterial LSU rRNA
Rfam family: Bacterial large subunit ribosomal RNA
Source: RNAcentral